RNAcentral lists this small RNA (30 nucleotides) under Bombyx mori (domestic silkworm). RNAcentral's name for it is "ovarian small RNA-17318". Lineage: Eukaryota; Metazoa; Arthropoda; Insecta; Lepidoptera; Bombycidae. The record is from RNAcentral.
GGAGCUUCGAGCCCCCUUCCAUGGGCGCGC